UUAUUAAUAAAAUAAUAUAUUUAUAUUAUUAAAAUAUAUAUUAUUUUAUGUACAUAAGAAUGCUUGAGUACGUAAAAGAACUCCAAAUGAUAGACUCCCAAGACUUGGUAGUUGGUACUGGUAUGGGCAUGACAUAAACUCUCUUCUGCUAUAUUGGCAGACAUUUGACAAAUGUAUCUUGCUUGUCCUCGUGGAUGAGCUCGAUGAUGAGGCUAGUGAUCUUGCGAGUAGAUUGCUAAUAGAUCAUGCCCUCGAAGAUAGUGUGGGUUUUCAGAGCGGAGUCAGAUCCAAGCCACGAAUAUGUGAGCAGACGUCGAUACGUUCAAUUCGAAUAAGGUCUGAGCUCUCUGAGAGCCUCUUGAGCUCUGCCACAGCAACAGAAAGGAAGAAAAAAGAGCGAGUUCUGAAGAAAAAGAACAAAUUAAAGAAGAACGAAUGCUAAUACAGAAAGGGAUCGAAGAUUUUAGGAAGAGCUAGCCC
RNAcentral lists this long non-coding RNA (480 nucleotides) under Elaeis guineensis (African oil palm). RNAcentral's name for it is "long non-coding RNA (EGUI_LNC000964)". Lineage: Eukaryota; Viridiplantae; Streptophyta; Magnoliopsida; Arecales; Arecaceae. The record is from RNAcentral.